Molecule: long non-coding RNA, 5956 nt
Organism: Ictalurus punctatus (channel catfish)
Lineage: Eukaryota; Metazoa; Chordata; Actinopteri; Siluriformes; Ictaluridae
Exons: 2
Source: RefSeq, a predicted model, not a curated record
CGGUUUAAAUGCUGUUUAAAGCAGAAAAUGAAGUAAACCUUAUUAAAAAAAUAAAAUGAAUAAAAAUCACUUCAACGUACUCCAUUCAUAUUCUGUCUGUUAGAAAACCAGGAGUCUGUAUAAUAAUCAGAAACAUCAGCUUUUGGCGUUUUGUACUUCCUUCAGUCUGCAAUAAUGACGACCACACACACUUUACACAUUUGACCUUUUUAUUGUAGGAUUCACACGUAUAAUAAAUUCACAUUUAUUUCAGCAAUUUAGCAAACAUCAGAGAAAUAAAAGGCAAUGUACACUUCAAUACACUCGAAUUGCUGUAAAGCACCAGACUUCCUGAAUGUUCCUCCACCCAUCAGAGAGAACCUCCUGUUUCACACCAGCACACACUCGUAGCUUCACUCCUCCCCCUGACUGACUGACAUUAACAUGUUAUUAAUAUGCAAACAGGUGGAAGCACGGAUACGUACAGUUCUCUCUCACUACAGGGACAUACUGGAGUUUUUCUACAAUUGAAAGAUUUACAGAUGUUCAUAUGAUCUCUGUGUACGCACGCCUGAAAGCUGACACGCUACAGAUUCUCACCAGCUUUUAGUCAUGCUCGUAUGUUAAAACCCCAUCAUGAUAUUACGUGAGAAAGAAGAUACAAGGGAGUCUGACCAUGGUGGAGCUCGCCGGCGAUUCUCACGUCCCCAGGGGGUUAACACACCUUCCAUAAAAAGCAGGUAGUGUGUUCUACAGCCAUGUUUCAUAUUUACUGUAAUAAACUCACAUUCCAUGCAAGUAGCUUUAAUUUGUUAGCAUACAUUAGUGAUGUAUAUUUACCUUCAGUAAGCGACAUCGUCAUUAUAGAUUUAACAAGCAACUGUCUGAAUGCUCUCCAUCCACUUUAAUAAGAACACCUGCUCACUGAAUGUAGCUAUUCAAUCAGCCAACGAUAAGGCAGCAGCACAAUGGAAGAGCUACAACAGCUGAAGACCUCAGCAGGUUCCUCACCUAUUAGACAGGAACAGGAAUCUGAGGCUUUCACGGGUGCACUCCCCCCCCAUACACACAGCUGAAGACUGGAAAAAGACCAGGUUAGUGUAUUCUCGCUAAUCUUCAGCUGUGCCGUUUGGGCGAGUCUGCACCCACGAUAGAUCCAGAGUCCUGUUCGUGUGGUCUUCUGCUGUUGUCGUCGUCGUCGUCCAUCCACUUCAAGGUUCAACGUGUUGUGCGUUCUACACUAAAGUCACAUCCUCUAAUAAACUCGGCACUAGUUUCUCAGCUGUUUCAUGCAAACGAUCCGAUUUUCCACGAACAUUGCAGGUAUUAAAGAGUUUGCUGUGCGAACUGAAGUCAAUCUCCUCACCGUUUCUUUCAUUCGUAACAUUACUGUUCAACGGGUAAGAGUUAGUAAUGCCGCAGUACACACGGUAGGUGGCGAAAUACAGCGAGCGCGGGGGCAGUACAACUCCAGGUGUGUACGCGGACCAGGUCGCGGGAGCCGACGCAGAUCUAUUCUACACUAAAACUCUUUUUCCUGGUACGGAAAUGAAACUGCGUCAGAGUACGGUUAGUUGGAGUUUUUAUUUAUUCUUUUAAAAAGGUUAUGUUGAGGUAAGCCGAAUACUCUAAUAAUAAUAACGACUACACUUCGUGUUGUUUUGAGGAAGUGACGGGCUUCAGUCUUAACAGGUAGCUGACGACACGGUGCUAACAAAAGAUGGCGGCGGAGGCCGGAAGUGAACGCAGUUCACUCCUUCCACUUCCGGGGCGAACCCAAGCGCGCGGUUAACAUUUUCCGACUAGCGUGAACGGCAUAAUGUCCGGUGAAACGCGUGAGAAAAGUAGACAGCCGACAAAAGCUGAACGUUUUGAGUAUAAACUUACCUGUUUGUAGUCUCAAAAGCUACAUGAGCUAAUGCUAAUAAAACUAUUCACCUUUUUUUAUUUGCGCGUGCGAAUGAGGUAAAUGUACAUCGCUAAUGUAUGCUAACAAGUUAAAACUAAUUCAAUACACUUCGUUUAAAUAAAAAUAAACCAAUAAAUCUGCAUGGUAAUGUGAACGCCGAGCAUUUGUUCAAAACACACAACAUGCACAAAAAUACACAUACGUAGUUUCAGAAACUGCAGGGAACCUCUCAAAACUCACGCGCAGGAAAAUGACUCUGUACUAAACAGAAAAAUAUAAAAGAUAUAUAUAUAAGGUAUAUAAAAGAUAUACCGUAAAAAUGAUAGAAAAGCUGUUUCUUAAAUCCGAUGUACAAGUUUUACAAUUUUAAUUACUUUUAAAAUAGAUAGAUUAAUCGAGAUUAACACUAGCGACACAAAAAAGCAUGCGCACGUCUCUGGAGAGAAAAGCAGAAAGGGGCGCUUCUUCGUCUUCUGUUUGUUUUUACCACCUGAAGGUGCAUUACCGCCACCUACGGGACUGGAGUGUGGCCGGCAGACUGGCAGGAAAAUGAUGAUGAUAAUAAUAAUAAUAAUCAUAAUAAUAAUAAUAAUAAUACAUAAAUAAAAAACAAACUAUAUACUAGGUAUUCAUACUAAGUUAUUAAAGUCUCUCACUUAUCCCAGUAUUUUUAGAUUGUUCAUUAGGGGGCGGUGCAUUUCCCCAGAUGUUUUCCCCAGCAAGUUCUCUAGUGUCAUGUUUUGUUUUCCAAUCUGCAUCUCUAGCUCAGUCCUUUCCUCCUCAUACCUUUUGCAGUCUAACAGUAUGUGUUUCACCGUCUCUUGUGUACUGCAGUGUGUGCAGAGUCCAGUGGGGUGUUUUCCUAUUCUGUUUAAUGCUAGAUUUAAUCCAGCAUGCCCUAUUCUAAGACGCGUAACUAUCAUCUCUUCCUUUGGGUUCCUGCCCUGCCUCACACUCGUGCCUACUUGUUUUUGUAUGGUAUGUAGGGGUCGUCCGGUGUCAGCUGUGUCCCAGUGUUCCUGCCGUAUUUUAUGCUCUUGUCCCUUUAUAAUGGUUUUGAUCUCUGCUCUACUUAAUGGUACUUGUAUAUCAACUGUUUCAUGCUUUAUAGAUCGUUUUUCCAGUACAUCCACAGUUUCAUUUCCUUCUACCCCUACAUGUGCAGGAACCCAGAAGAAGGGAACACUCAGCCCCUUAGCAUGAAGUAUGAGAAGCAGAUAAAGUAUUUGGUAGACAAUGUCUUGUCUGCAUGAUGUUUUCCCAGACUGUAUGCUUGAUGGUGCUGAUAGACUGUCAGAAGCUAUAGCGACAUCUUGGUUCUGAUUAUUUUUUCCCAAAAACUGCAGUGCCAAUAGGACUCCUAACAGUUCUACAGUGUACACUGAUAAAUGAUCGGUCACCCUUUUUUGACCGCUACUUCAUACCGGGGAAUGAAAAAAGCCGCACCGUUGCGGCCAGUCUCAGGCUGUUUUUACCCGUCUGUAUAUAUGAGUAAUUUAUUGUGAUACUGGUCCAUAUAGUUUUGAGUUAUCCCUUGUGGUGCUAUUUCAGAAUUCUCUUUUAAUAUUUGUUGUAAUCUUGUAUCUACAGAUGGUUUUAUGAAUCUCCAGGGUGGUACAGUUGGUAUCGCGAUAAUGGGGCUCACUUGUAGCUGACUGAGACCCGCAUUUUGUGCCUUUGCAUUUCCUAACCAUCCGAAGCUAUUAAAGUUAGUCCUAUAAAACUCUGAGCAUUCUUGUAAGAUGGCUUUCGUGGGGUGCACCCUGAUAUACCCUUGUAGAUUUACCCAAUAUGCCAGCAUGAUCUUAACCCUCCUGAUACACAGCGGCAUCCCUCCUGUCUCCACCUGUAAUGCAGUCACUGGUGAUGAUUUAAAUGCUCUAGUACAGAUCCUGAGUGCCUGUGCCUGUUCCACAUCGAGCUUUUUAAGAUUUGAUUGUGAUGAAGACAACAUGUCAGCAUGUAAUGCCGACAUGUACUGUGACAUACCGAAGCACAGCAUGAUCAGUAUGCAGUAUUCCAGCAUGAUAACGACCCCAAACACACGUCCAAGAUGACCACUGCCUUGCUAAAGCAGCUGAGGGUGAAGGUGAUGCACUGGCCAAGCAUGUCUCCAGACCUAAACCCUAUUGAGCCUCUGUGGGGCAUCCUCAAACGGAAGGUGGAGGAGCACAAGGUCUCUAACAUCCACCAGCUCCGUGAUGUGGUCAUGGAGGAGUGGAAGAGGACUCCAGUGGAACCUGUGAAGCUCUGAUGAACUCCAUGCCCAAGAGGGUUAAGGCAGUGCUGGGAAAUAAUGGUGGCCACACAAAAUAUUCACACUUUGGGCCCAAUGUGGAAAUUUUCACUCAGGGGUGUACUCACUUUUGUUGCCAGCGGUUUAGACAUUAAUGGCUGUGUGUUGAGUUAUUUUGAGGGGAUGGUAAAUUUACACUGUUACACAAGCUGUACAAUCACUACUUUACACUGUAGCACAGUGUCAUUUCUUCAGUGUGUCACAUGAAAAUAUUUCAUCAGAUAUUUACAAAAAUGUGAGGGGUGCACUCACUUUUGUGAGAUACUGUAUAUGCUAGGCAGUCAUAAUCACAGGCAGCUCUCAUAAGAGCCUGAUAGAUAUUUCUUCUUGCUCCCCAGUCUCGCCCUGACAGAAAUCUCAGAACAUUAUUAAUCUUUUUACAUUUGUUUUUAAUUUUAUCAAUAUGCAGAUCCCAGGUCAGCUUCUCAUCAAAAAUCACUCCUAAAAAUCUCACAGCCGUGACCUGUUCAAGAUAUAAGACAUAUGAUAGCCCAUAUCAUUUAAGUGGUACUGUUUUAUGACGUUUAGGGAAACAUAUAUCUUGUGAUUUUGCAAUUAACAGUUUAAAUCCCCAUUCAUUUGCCAACGGUUCUACUUUCCCUAUUGCAUGUUGCAUUUUCUUUCUUAAAUAUUCUAUAUCCCGACCCCUAACCCAGAGUGCCCCAUAAAGAGUGCCGCAUAAAGAGAGACUUUUUUGGCCAGCAGUGGUUUCACACCAUUUUUAUGCAGUAUUUUUCCUGACAGUGGAGACAUGAACAAAGACUUUUGCAGGUUGUAGAGUUUGCUGCAGGUUUUUUGCUGUUACCCCCGGGUUCUUUCUCACCUCUUUCAGGAUUUCCCUUUGUGCUCUUGGUGUGAUCUUUGAAGGAAACCCACUCCUAGAGAGAGUAUCAACAGUCGUGAAUUUCCUCCAUUUGCAGACAGAGUCUUAUCAUGGAUUGAUGAACACCCAGGUCUUUAAAAUGCUUGUGUAGUCUCUUCCAGCUUCGUGCAUCUCUAUAAUGUCAUCUAGGAUCCUGUGAAAGUCGAUGGGAUCGAGGCAUGGUUCACACUAAGCAACUGUUCUUGAGAACAACAGAUUUGUAAGUAACCAGACUUUGUGUCUCUUUACAUGAAGGGCAAAACACCCGUACUUCCAAUCUGAUUCCCAGGAAAGACCUUAUUCCACCUGAAGGCUUGCUGUUGAUGCCAGGGACUGCGGGGCAGGUCUGGUCCUCCUGCAGGCCGGCCCAGAUGGAAUUGACCAGCCAGUUUGUUUUUAUAAAAGAAUUCCACCAGCAUCAGUGAGUUUAUUCCACCAUAGAGAAAGAGUUCCCGGUCCCAGCACUCCAACAUUUUGGAGAGUAUUUGGGGUCAUUAUCUAACCCCAUCCAGGUUUAAACAGACCACUUGACUUCAUCAACAGGAUACGGAAUCAGAACUGAUAAUGAGCUCUUUCUAGCUCUCUGUUUUCCUAGGGCCCAGGAGGACCAAAAAGCUGUAAUGGAACUGCAGGAGGUGUGAGGUGUUACGACCCCCAGCACUCUCUCCGGUCCUGAUAUCAGUGCAGUAGCAGUCUGGGUGGCCAAUCAGUUUAGACCUACAUGUGGAGGUGUUUGGGUAUAACGGGGGGGACGCGUCCGCUUCCUCUCUCUCUCUCUCUCGCACGCUUACACACGCACAUGUGCACACUGACACUCACUCAGUCAGACAUCCUCAUACUCCCUCAUUAGACAUCCUCGAGGUGACGAUCUAUAUUUACAUUUAUAAUAAAAAUAAACUGUUUGCAAAGA